GAGGUACUACACCCAAUAAAUUACAAGGUGUUGAUUUAACUGUUCUGGCUUUCGAUGAAUGUAAAAAAACGGUCGUGGGCGAUGUCCUAAUUGACGGCCAUAUGUGCACAACGGGUGUAAUGGGAAUAGGAGCAUGCAAAGGCGAUUCGGGAGGUCCACUCACUUAUGGUAAAAAACUUGUUGGAAUCGUGAGCUUCGGAAUUCCAUGCGGGAUUGGAAACCCCGAUGUGUACUCUAAAGUUUCCUAUUAUUUUGAUUGGAUUAAGAAAAACUCGCAAAUCUAACCACACCACAGCAACAGUUCUUGGAACGGAAGGAAU
Molecule: RNA transcript, 320 nt
Organism: Bradysia coprophila
Lineage: Eukaryota; Metazoa; Arthropoda; Insecta; Diptera; Sciaridae
Source: RefSeq, a predicted model, not a curated record